This 460-nucleotide ribosomal RNA is filed under the name uncultured bacterium. RNAcentral's name for it is "partial 16S ribosomal RNA". It matches the Rfam family "Bacterial small subunit ribosomal RNA", at positions 338 to 795 of the family's 1533-position model. The record is from RNAcentral.
CCUACGGGAGGCAGCAGUGAGGAAUAUUGGUCAAUGGGCGCGAGCCUGAACCAGCCAAGUCGCGUGAGGGAAGACGGUCCUAUGGAUUGUAAACCUCUUUUGUCGGGGAGCAAAAGACGCCACGCGUGGCGUUCCGAGAGUACCCGAAGAAAAAGCAUCGGCUAACUCCGUGCCAGCAGCCGCGGUAAUACGUAGGGGCCAGCCGUUAUCCGGAUUUACGGGGGGUAAAGGGAGCGCAGACGGCUGUGCAAGUCUGGAGUGAAAGGCGGGGGCCCAACCCCCGGACUGCUCUGGAAACUGUAAAGCUGGAGUGCAGGAGAGGUAAGCGGAAUUCCUAGUGUAGCGGUGAAAUGCGUAGAUAUUAGGAGGAACACCAGUGGCGAAGGCGGCUUACUGGACUGCAACUGACGUUGAGGCUCGAAAGCGUGGGGAGCAAACAGGAUUAGAUACCCGAGUAGUC